CAGCCGUAAACUAUGCGCGUUAGGUGUAUCGGUGACCACGAGUUACCGAGGUGCCGAAGGGAAACCGUGAAACGUGCCGCCUGGGAAGUACGGUCGCAAGGCUGAAACUUAAAGGAAUUGGCGGGGGAGGCACCACAACGGGUGGAGCCUGCGGUUUAAUUGGACUCAACGCCGGGAAGCUCACCGGAUAGGACAGCAGAAUGAUUGCCGGGCUGAAGACCCUGCAUGACUAGCUGAGAGGAGGUGCAUGGCGUAGACGUCU
This 262-nucleotide ribosomal RNA is filed under the name uncultured archaeon. RNAcentral's name for it is "partial 16S ribosomal RNA". It matches the Rfam family "Archaeal small subunit ribosomal RNA", at positions 748 to 1009 of the family's 1478-position model. The record is from RNAcentral.